AACUACUUCCGCGGCAAAUCCGCGCCCAGCGCGCCAGAGCCUCUCUGCUGCCCUGCAGCCGCCUGGGGUCUGGCGGGGAAGCAGCUCAGCCGGCAGCUGCUGGGUGUGCUCAACUCUCGCCAAAGCUCAGCACCCGGAAUGGGGCCUCCUAAGUGGAAAAGGGGGCUCAGAGGCUGUGGAGCCAAAGUCACAGGAAAUUACUAAGGUCUCCUACACCCUUCAAAUAGAUCUUUCUGCCUUUGCAGGACGUGUCUGCAGGGUAGAACCUUGACCCCAGGUUGGCUGCAAGUUGUAUAAGAAAUUAAAUGAGGACCUCGGCAGGCAUCAAAGAGCCCCACUCCAUCCCGCCCUCGUCCCGCCCCCCAGCCACCAGCAUAGCUGUGAGUGCCUGCAGGACACACACACCCCACCCCACCUCCUGGCUGUGCCUCUACCUGGUUCCACACUACAGAGGCUCUGGGGGUAUAAAGGCCAUUGUCCUGAGCUGCAGAAGAGAACAACAGUUAGAGGGCCUCUCUCGGUCUCCUUGAUGAAAACAGAAGUCCACUGAAAAAGUGAAGAGAAUCUCUGCAAUAAAGGCACACCAGACCACCGUACUUGAUGGCUCACUUCAGGAGUUGGUCGGUCGGAGGUACUGAUGGCAAACGAAGCACGGCUCAGUGGGGGUCUUUACGGUCACCAGGGACACGCCGGGCCCCAGCACGGGGCAGAAGACCUCAUGGAGUCAUCAGCACCCAAAGUCUUCUGUGGAAUGAGAAGCCUCAUUCACUGCAAUUUUAAAAAGGAAAAGGAGAGUGAGAACAUGUAGAUUAAAGAGACUGAAGAGGAAGAUUUGUCUGCAAAAUGUAGUGUUUGGAAUGUGUUGAGCUUGGAUUGAAACUUCAGGCACAUACAUAUCUAUCUAUGAAUAUGCACACAGAUUUAUCCGCAUGUCACAGAUUUGUAAUGUGACAGUUUUUUAUUGUAGCAGUGGGGACUGAACCCAAGACAGAAGCUGGGGUUUUUUUGGUUUUUUAGACAAGGUCUCAGGAAGACUCUAAAUUGCUUAAGCUGGGUUUAAAUUUAUGAUCUUUCCACUCAUCCUCUCAAAGUGUUGGGAUUACGGGCCAGCAUCCCCACACCCAGCGCAAUGAGACUGCUUAACCUGCUUCAUAUAUUUAAUAAAGUUCUCUCUGCUAACGACCUGGGGUGUGAUAAUGGGAUAUAAUAUUUUUAAAGAGACUAUGUUAUAGAGAC
Heterocephalus glaber (naked mole-rat) is the source of this 1236-nucleotide long non-coding RNA. RefSeq lists it as uncharacterized. Lineage: Eukaryota; Metazoa; Chordata; Mammalia; Rodentia; Bathyergidae. The record is from RefSeq and is a predicted model, not a curated record.